AGUGUAGGCGGGAUUGUAAGUUAGGAGUUUAAUACAUGGGCUUAACCCAUGAGCUGCUUUUAAUACUGCGGUUCUUGAGUAUGGGAGAGGGCGAUGGAAUUCCAGGUGUAGCGGUGGAAUGCGUAGAUAUCUGGAAGAACACCAGUAGCGAAGGCGGUCGCCUGGCCCAAUACUGACGCUGAUGCUCGAAAGCUAGGGGAGCAAACAGGAUUAGAUACCCUGGUAGUCCUAGCCGUAAACGAUGGACACUAGUUGCUGGAGGAGUCAAUCCUUUCGGUGACGAAGCUAACGCAUUAAGUGUCCCGCCUGGGGGGUACGUUCGCAAGGAUGAA
This 332-nucleotide ribosomal RNA is filed under the name uncultured bacterium. RNAcentral's name for it is "bacterial SSU rRNA". It matches the Rfam family "Bacterial small subunit ribosomal RNA", at positions 568 to 898 of the family's 1533-position model. The record is from RNAcentral.